CAUUGCAACAAAAGGAGAGAUGCUAAGCACUCCCCUUGACAAGUACAGAAGAGAUCGAGCAAUCUUUCUAACACAUAUGGGAUUGCUCUCUACUUUAGAGCAACCUAUUUUUUU
This is a small nuclear RNA of Octopus sinensis (East Asian common octopus), 114 nucleotides long. Lineage: Eukaryota; Metazoa; Mollusca; Cephalopoda; Octopoda; Octopodidae. The record is from RefSeq and is a predicted model, not a curated record.